RNAcentral lists this ribosomal RNA (365 nucleotides) under uncultured eukaryote. Its description in RNAcentral is "partial 18S ribosomal RNA". It matches the Rfam family "Eukaryotic small subunit ribosomal RNA", at positions 592 to 976 of the family's 1831-position model. The record is from RNAcentral.
CAAUAGCGUAUAUUUAAGUUGUUGCAGUUAAAAAGCUCGUAGUCGGAUUUUGGCUGAGAACGAUCGGUCCGCCGUUAGGUGUGCACUGAUUGGUCUCAGCUUCCUGGUGAGGAGGUGUGCUUCACGGCCACUUAGUCACCGUGGUUACUUUGAAAAAAUUAGAGUGUUCAAAGCGGGCUUACGCUUGAAUAUAUUAGCAUGGAAUAACACCAUAGGACUCCUGUCCUAUUUCGUUGGUCUCGGGACGGGAGUAAUGAUUAAGAGGAACAGUUGGGGGCAUUCGUAUUUCAUUGUCAGAGGUGAAAUUCUUGGAUUUAUGAAAGACGAACUUCUGCGAGAGCAUUUGCCAAGGAUGUUUUCAUUGA